AGGGGUAUAGUUCAAUGGUAGAACGACGGUCUCCAAAACCGUUAAUCCGGGUUCAAAUCCUGGUACCCCUGCCA
This 74-nucleotide transfer RNA is filed under the name bacterium (Candidatus Howlettbacteria) CG_4_10_14_0_8_um_filter_40_9. RNAcentral's name for it is "tRNA-Trp". It matches the Rfam family "tRNA". From Rfam's summary of the family: Transfer RNA (tRNA) molecules are approximately 80 nucleotides in length. Their secondary structure includes four short double-helical elements and three loops (D, anti-codon, and T loops). Further hydrogen bonds mediate the characteristic L-shaped molecular structure. tRNAs have two regions of fundamental functional importance: the anti-codon, which is responsible for specific mRNA codon recognition, and the 3' end, to which the tRNAs corresponding amino acid is attached (by aminoacyl-tRNA synthetases). tRNAs cope with the degeneracy of the genetic code in two manners: having more than one tRNA (with a specific anti-codon) for a particular amino acid; and 'wobble' base-pairing, i.e. permitting non-standard base-pairing at the 3rd anti-codon position. The record is from RNAcentral.